GAUAGAUGAUAGAUGAUGAUAGAUGAUGAUAGAUAGAUAGAUAGAUAUUCAGACCUAUCUGUCUGUCUGUCUGUCUGUCUGUCUAUCAUCAUCAUCAUCAUCAUCUAUC
Molecule: non-coding RNA, 109 nt
Organism: Podarcis lilfordi (Lilford's wall lizard)
Lineage: Eukaryota; Metazoa; Chordata; Lepidosauria; Squamata; Lacertidae
Source: the annotation of a GenBank genome assembly